AUUUAUAUAGUUUAAAAAAAACGCUACAUUUUCAAUGUAAAAAUAAAUUUAAUUUUAUAAAUA
This 63-nucleotide transfer RNA is filed under the name Bostrichoidea sp. 9 KM-2017. Its description in RNAcentral is "tRNA-Glu". The record is from RNAcentral. Lineage: Eukaryota; Metazoa; Arthropoda; Insecta; Coleoptera.